This 275-nucleotide unclassified non-coding RNA is filed under the name Tremella sp. Its description in RNAcentral is "partial contains 5.8S ribosomal RNA, internal transcribed spacer 2, and large subunit ribosomal RNA". The stretch from base 1 to 52 matches the Rfam family "5.8S ribosomal RNA", at positions 103 to 154 of the family's 154-position model. RNAcentral also lists the same sequence under 1 other name. The record is from RNAcentral. Lineage: Eukaryota; Fungi; Basidiomycota; Tremellomycetes; Tremellales; Tremellaceae.
AACGCAACUUGCGCCUCUUGGUAUUCCGAGAGGCAUGCCUGUUUGAGUGUCAUGAAUACCUCAACCCCCCACGGUUUUUCGGAACCGAGGGAAGGUUGGAGAUGGGCGUCCUGCCGGUGUCGAGCCGGCUCGCCUUAAAGGUCUCAGUGGUGUCCUCGUACCCCAUGCCUGACGUAAUAAGUUUCGUCUGGGCCGGGUCCUGUGAUGUCCGCUCAUAACCCACCAUAUUCUGUGACUCUGACCUCAAAUCAGGUAGGGCUACCCGCUGAACUUAA